GGCGCCGUAGUUCAGUUGGUAGAACUGGAGCCUCAUUGGCUUGUAGUCGCAGGUUCAAAUCCUGCCGGCGCCG
Molecule: transfer RNA, 73 nt
Filed under: Nanobdellota archaeon
Lineage: Archaea; Nanobdellati; Nanobdellota
Description: tRNA-Met
Rfam family: tRNA
About the family: Transfer RNA (tRNA) molecules are approximately 80 nucleotides in length. Their secondary structure includes four short double-helical elements and three loops (D, anti-codon, and T loops). Further hydrogen bonds mediate the characteristic L-shaped molecular structure. tRNAs have two regions of fundamental functional importance: the anti-codon, which is responsible for specific mRNA codon recognition, and the 3' end, to which the tRNAs corresponding amino acid is attached (by aminoacyl-tRNA synthetases). tRNAs cope with the degeneracy of the genetic code in two manners: having more than one tRNA (with a specific anti-codon) for a particular amino acid; and 'wobble' base-pairing, i.e. permitting non-standard base-pairing at the 3rd anti-codon position.
Source: RNAcentral